Molecule: ribosomal RNA, 451 nt
Filed under: uncultured organism
Description: partial 16S ribosomal RNA
Rfam family: Bacterial small subunit ribosomal RNA
Source: RNAcentral
ACACUCCUGCGGGAGGCAGCAGUGGGGAAUAUUGGACAAUGGGCGCAAGCCUGAUCCAGCCAUGCCGCGUGAGUGAUGAAGGCCCUAGGGUUGUAAAGCUCUUUCACCGGUGAAGAUAAUGACGGUAACCGGAGAAGAAGCCCCGGCUAACUUCGUGCCAGCAGCCGCGGUAAUACGAAGGGGGCUAGCGUUGUUCGGAUUUACUGGGCGUAAAGCGCACGUAGGCGGACUAUUAAGUCAGGGGUGAAAUCCCGGGGCUCAACCCCGGAACUGCCUUUGAUACUGGUAGUCUUGAGUUCGAGAGAGGUGAGUGGAAUUCCGAGUGUAGAGGUGAAAUUCGUAGAUAUUCGGAGGAACACCAGUGGCGAAGGCGGCUCACUGGCUCGAUACUGACACUGAGGUGCGAAAGCGUGGGGAGCAAACAGGAUUAGAAACCCUGGUAGUCCCAUGA